AUGAUUUCUGAAGUUUGUUUAUAUCGCAUAGCAUCAGGCCUCAGCCUGCUUCAGCAUCCAUACACUGAAACAGAUAUUUUAACAAGGGGACAGACCUUCAAACUACACAUUUGUGGUGGAGUGCUGAAGCAAGCUGUGAUGGUUCCAGCAGUUCAGGUGGAGGUUGGCAGCUCAUUGCACUGUAGAGGAACAGAGAGGGUGAAGGUCCUGGAAAGUGAUUUUGGGCCUCAGUGUGAAGGAACAACAAGGCAGUGCUCGUUUGCAGUGCUUCCUGGAAGCCUUGAACACCUGCAGUUAACAAGCGCUGAAAGAAAAAAAGAGUAAUAAGAACACAAACUGACUUCAGUCACAGACUUAAUCAACUGAAGAUAAAAGAAGACAUUAAAUCUCUGAAGAUCUCAGCAGAGGAGGAUUAAACAACUCCACCAACAGCAGCAGCUUCACUCGUUAAUAACCAGCCGGACGUCUACAGAAGCUCUUAUUGAGAAUUAGCAAGCUUUAGAUGUUAAAAAUCUUUAGUUUUGUUUCAAAUUACUAUCCUGGUGAUCAGUGGCUGCUUUAGUUGGGCUCCUGAACCUUGACUUUUUAACAUUGGUUUUACUCUGGAUCCUGUAACUGUGUGUUUAUCACACAUUCGUUAUGGUGGGGAAAAGGCAUAGAGAAAAUUGGGAUCUGUUGAUGUCUUUAAUGUUGUUACCAGCAUUGCGAUACUACUAGUGAUUUCAAAUAUGAUAUUUAAUUGUAACUUGGUAGACAAAUUUGGAGAAUUUGAUGUUUCCCCAUUCAGAGGAGCUGACAAAGAGGCGUUUCAAAGAUGGCCACCGAGUGAAAUGACUUGCUUUAAAAGGGCUUUGAUCACAGUCACCAUUAGCUGAUAAUAUUCACAGCCAAUGUUUUGAUUAUUCUGACCGUGUCUAAUUUGUGACUGAUGUUUGAUAUAAUUUGAUGUAAUUUUCUCAGGAGGCUGAAUCCAAGUCUCCUGUUCACAGCUUCUAAUCGACACUAUCCGUUCCACCUUUUUCUCCUCUUCAUCAGUAUUUUUUUUUUAAUGUUUUUGCUGUUGUACACUCAACAGUAUCUCUUUCCAUCCAGACUCAUACUGUGUCUUAUUACAAUUCCUGCAAAAUCAAAUGAUGAUUUACUUUACGUAGUUAUAAUGACCAUAAUGUUUUGUAACUUACUAGAAUACUAUACACACCACACAUAAGCACUCACCCUACACGUAUUCACAGCAAUCUUUAAUCUAAUCUUGUAAUGUAAAACAAUACAAAUACGAUUCUUUCAAUUCAUUCCCUAUGCUCCCAUUACACUACUGGUUAAGAAG
Cyprinus carpio (common carp) is the source of this 1324-nucleotide long non-coding RNA. NCBI's taxonomy places the organism in Eukaryota, Metazoa, Chordata, Actinopteri, Cypriniformes, Cyprinidae. The record is from Ensembl.